This 211-nucleotide long non-coding RNA is filed under the name Lathyrus oleraceus (garden pea). RNAcentral describes it as "Pisum sativum (pea) long non-coding RNA (PSAT_LNC028839)". The record is from RNAcentral. Lineage: Eukaryota; Viridiplantae; Streptophyta; Magnoliopsida; Fabales; Fabaceae.
UUGAGCUUCUCUGAAAGCAGGUUCUAUAUGAGCCACCUGGUGUUGGUUGACGACUGGUCGGACUUCUUUCCUCCUCACAGAGGGCCUUCUUUUUCUAUGGGAAGAAACAGCAUGAGUCUCCCCUUCCUUCUUCCUGGCAAAUCCUCCAUACUUCUUCACCGAAGAAUCAUCACGGGACAGACGUCCUUCAUGGACUCCCUCUUCUAGCCUC